AGUGAACGCUGGCGGUAGGCCUAACACAUGCAAGUCGAACGGCAGCACAGGAGAGCUUGCUCUCUGGGUGGCGAGUGGCGGACGGGUGAGGAAUACAUCGGAAUCUACUCUGUCGUGGGGGAUAACGUAGGGAGACUUACGCUAAUACCGCAUACGACCUACGGGUGAAAGCAGGGGAUCUUCGGACCUUGCGCGAUUGAAUGAGCCGAUGUCGGAUUAGCUGGUUGGCGGGGUAAAGGCCCACCAAGGCGACGAUCCGUAGCUGGUCUGAGAGGAUGAUCAGCCACACUGGAACUGAGACACGGUCCAGACUCCUACGGGAGGCAGCAGUGGGGAAUAUUGGACAAUGGGCGCAAGCCUGAUCCAGCCAUACCGCGUGGGUGAAGAAGGCCUUCGGGUUGUAAAGCCCUUUUGUUGGGAAAGAAAUCCAGCUGGCUAAUACCCGGUUGGGAUGACGGUACCCAAAGAAUAAGCACUGGCUAACUUCGUGCCAGCCGCCGCAGUAA
This 506-nucleotide ribosomal RNA is filed under the name uncultured bacterium. RNAcentral's name for it is "partial 16S ribosomal RNA". It matches the Rfam family "Bacterial small subunit ribosomal RNA", at positions 29 to 523 of the family's 1533-position model. The record is from RNAcentral.